This is a long non-coding RNA of Cavia porcellus (domestic guinea pig), 1840 nucleotides long. RefSeq lists it as uncharacterized. The transcript has 2 exons. Lineage: Eukaryota; Metazoa; Chordata; Mammalia; Rodentia; Caviidae. The record is from RefSeq and is a predicted model, not a curated record.
CAUGCUGAAAUCCUGGACUGGGCACACACCAGCACUGGACCCCAUCAGGGGCCACCCUUCUAAGCCCACUUCCUUGUGUGGAAAAGGUUCAUCUCAUAAAUAUGAGGUCAUUUAGAGCCAUAUCAAGAACUGUGAUAGGGGCGGGUUUUUCUUUCCCUCUUGUGCACAGAACAUGCUGUGCCAACUGCCACAGACAAAGUGGCCUCUAGGAGAACCCAGGGGACUUCCAAAGACCCCACCCAGAACCAGUCUCCCCUGCUUCUGCCUUGUGCCUUGCACACACCUGUUCUUAGUGUCCCCUCUGUAUGGCUGAGACCACUCUUCCCCCUCACCCUCUCCCACUAGACCAAGGUGGUCUCUGCGGUGACACUAGGUCUCCUCCAGCCAACUCUACCCGGAGUGGUGCCAGGCACAUGGGAUCAAAGACCUCUUUAGGCCCAGAGACCCUGACCUCCAAGGAACCAGUUCUCCAAGACCUUGGCAAAUGACCCAUGCUGGCUCCCCUUCCCCUAGAAUUACCAAGGGGAGCCCACCCAUCCCUGCCAGCACCGCAGCAGUCUUUAAUCCAGCUCCUCAGGGAAUGGUGUCCCCUGGCCCUCCGGGGAAGAUAAGGAGGUGUACACGGUUUACUGAGUACCUGCUGUCAUCUGAACAAGACAAUCUCUGCGUUCACAGAGCUUCUCCAACAAACGUGUACCAGCUAUGUUGUGGUAAGACCUAAGCAGGAAAGAACAGUGCGGAGUAUGAGGAGCAAGGGGUAAGCUCAAACAGCUGUUCACUUCCCCAAGGAGCUGGCGUUGGAGAGAUGCCUUGAAAAGAGGAUGAGGGUGGGCUGUUCUAGGCAGUGAAAAAGCAAAAGCAAAAGCCCUGUGGCAGGAUGGCACUGGGAGAGCAGAAGGUAGAGAGGUAGGUAAGGACCCUGUUGAAGAGACUAGGAGUGGGACAGAGCGCAAGGGUGAUCUUGGCUAGCAGAUGGCUCUGCGACUGGGCCAUGAAGAUAGUAGAGAGGUGGGAACCGGUCAACCGUGGGAUAUGUAGGAGGCGCAGGUGACAGGAUGGACGGGCCUUGGAGCCCAGGCAGCGGCUGGGGGCAAGGAGCUGCGGUGGCCCGGCGGCUCCUGGCUAUGCACUCCGAGUCCUCGGGGUGCCAUUUCACCGGCCACCCUGCCCGGGGGUACCGCCGGGGACGGGAACCCCCAUCGCAACCUGGCCAGGCGGAGGGGGACGCGAGCAGGGACCCCGGGAAGUUCGGGACAGCCGGAGGCCCCACCCGCAGGGGCUCGUACCGGCGGAAGCCUGCAAAGAGAACUCUCGCGAGAUGACUGAAACCCCAUCCCUCCGAGGCUUCGCAAAUCGGUAAGCGGCUGAAUGCGUUGCCAUGACAACCCGGACUGCGUGGCUGCCGCCUCUGUGGCUGUGGUGGCCUCGGCGUCCUGUGUGUGAGGCCAUCCUGUGUCGCAGGCGUCCUUCUGCCCAGAGCUCCGUCCUCGGGAGUUUGAAGAUGGGCAGAAAGCCCCUCCAGGUCCAGACCUCGGCCCAUCCAGAGGGAGGUGGGAGGAAGCCGCAAGCCCGUUGGCGGGCCAGGGCACCACUGUCGCUCCAGCCCCAGUGCUGGACCCCGCAGACCCCGCAGAGCCGGCCCAGCGUGUCAGUAUCUAGUGGAGAAAAAAUGACAACGUGAACGUGAUGUAAUGUGAGCUUUGGGGCGGGGGUGGGGGAGAAGCUUGUUGCUUGACUUCACCCAGGAAUGUGGCUGGACGGAAAGUUACUGCAACUGGAGAAAGGCACAGUUGGCUGGAGUUUGGUUUAAAAAUAAAUAAAUAAGAUUUAAAUUAUAUAA